AAAGGUAUUGUCGAGUUCAAUAGAUAAUUCUAUCGACUCGACAUCCUGAUCAACCCUUAUGUGCACUUUAUUUAUGCUUUGGUCGGUCGAAAGACUUACCAAAAUUUUAUCUUACUGCCUUAUUUUUGUCUGAAGAAAUGAAAUAUAAUUUGAAAUA
This 157-nucleotide unclassified non-coding RNA is filed under the name soil metagenome. RNAcentral's name for it is "partial internal transcribed spacer 1". The record is from RNAcentral.